GACGAACGCUGGCGGCGUGCCUAAGACAUGCAAGUCGAGCGGGGCUUCGGGGCUUCGGCCCUGAAGCCUAGCGGCGGACGGGUGAGUAACACGUGGAUAACCUGCCCUCUGCUCUGGGAUAACAGGCCGAAAGGCCUGCUAAUACCGGAUAAGCUCACGGUCCCGCAUGGGGCUGGGAGAAAAGGCGCUGGAGUCAGUGGCGCUGGCAGAGGAGGGGUCCGCGGCCCAUUAGCUGGUUGGCGGGGUAACGGCCCACCAAGGCGACGAUGGGUAGCCGGCCUGAGAGGGCGACCGGCCACACUGGGACUGAGACACGGCCCAGACUCCUACGGGAGGCAGCAGUCGGGAAUUUUGCACAAUGGCCGAAAGGCUGAUGCAGCAACGCCGCGUGAGCGAAGAAGGCCUUCGGGUUGUAAAGCUCUGUUGCCUGCGAAGAAGGGCCCUGUCAGGAAAUGGGCGGGGUUUGACGGUAGCAGGCGAGGAAGCCCCGGCAAACUACGUGCCAGCAGCCGCGGUAAUACGUAGGGGGCGAGCGUUGUCCGGAAUUACUGGGCGUAAAGGGCGUGUAGGCGGCCUGUUAAGUCAGGGGUGAAAGACCGGGGCUCAACCCCGGGGGUGCCUCUGAAACUGGCGGGCUUGAGUGCUCUAGAGGGCAGUGGAAUUCCCGGUGUAGCAGUGAAAUGCGUAGAGAUCGGGAGGAACACCAGUGGCGAAGGCGGCUGCCUGGGGAGUCACUGACGCUGAGGCGCGAAAGCUAGGGGAGCAAACAGGAUUAGAUACCCUGGUAGUCCUAGCCGUAAACGAUGAGUGCUAUGUGUGAGGGGUAUCGACCCCCCUCGUGCAGGAGCUAACGCACUAAGCACUCCGCCUGGGGAGUACGGCCGCAAGGUUGA
Molecule: ribosomal RNA, 893 nt
Filed under: uncultured Bacillota bacterium
Lineage: Bacteria; Bacillati; Bacillota
Description: bacterial SSU rRNA
Rfam family: Bacterial small subunit ribosomal RNA
Source: RNAcentral